Cervus elaphus (red deer) is the source of this 667-nucleotide long non-coding RNA. RefSeq lists it as uncharacterized. The record is from RefSeq and is a predicted model, not a curated record. NCBI's taxonomy places the organism in Eukaryota, Metazoa, Chordata, Mammalia, Artiodactyla, Cervidae. The transcript has 4 exons.
GGGUCCUUAGAGAUCAUUUAAAAUUUCAACACUUCUCCCUGCUUCACCUUGUUCUGAUUCAAUUGACACUGGAAAAGUUAUGGAAAGAGUGUUUAAUAUAAUCUGAACUCACCAGAAGGCUUCCAGUGUGGCUGCCUCCUGCUGGAAGCAUGGGAGAAGGAAUCAGGGCACUGUCUGUCUUUCUUUACAAGACACUGGACUCAACUCUAAGAAAUCCCUGGAUCUUCCCUGGAUCCUGACCACCACAUGGCCAAAGAUACUGAAGCUAUCAAACUGAAGCCACUCCUCAUGGUGAGCUCUGAGGAACCUCAGGAAAGAGAAGAAUACCUGCUUUCCAGCAGCCAUCAGACUGCAGCCACUCCCCACUGUGAUCCCCGAGGAAACUCAGGAAGGAGAAGUCAGGAUGCUGGUCCCAGGUGGUAAGGGAUGCUGUCCAUACAUAAUGGCCUGCCUCAGGAAACCCCGCCCCUCUGCCUCUGUCCAGGACCUGUCCACCUGUGGAUGGUUACAGGAGGGAGAAAGUAACACAUCUCCCUCAGAGGCUGGCCAUUCCAGAUAUUUGCCAGAUUAGUGGCCUUUUUACUUUAUUUCCUCACCUCCCAGCUCUGUGUUCUAUGAAAGACACUGGCAUCCAGACCCUGACAAGAUGGUUUCUUGGAGAUAUUAG